This 1236-nucleotide long non-coding RNA is filed under the name Junco hyemalis (dark-eyed junco). RNAcentral's name for it is "lncRNA (ENSJHYG00000014847.1)". Lineage: Eukaryota; Metazoa; Chordata; Aves; Passeriformes; Passerellidae. The record is from RNAcentral.
CCCCUUCUCUGUCACCUCCCCACUUCUUGCCACUCCCUCCUGUUCCCUUUGUGACCCCUGUCGCCUCCAUCCUCCACAGCCCCCUCCGUCCCCCUGUGCCUCCUCUCCCUGCCAUGUGUCCCCUCUGUCCCUCUCUCCCCCACCAUCGCAACCUCUUGGGGAUCCAUGCUCACUUGGGACACCUUGGGGACACCUUGGGGACGCUCUGGGGGUCGAAGGAGCCUUGGGAUGUCCUCGAUGGCUCUUUGGCACCACUCCGCCACACCACGGCAACGGGGGCUGUCAGGAGCACAACCGUAAUAGAAGUCGAUGAUGUCUUGAAGUGUUUCUCCCAGGUGAUCUUUGACCAGGCGGGCGUUGGCCUCCCACAGCCAUUUGGCCACAGCCACCUUGGCAAUCAAGGCAUUGGGGACAUCAGAGGAUGCCUCAUUUGUCCCCUUCAGGGCGGCCUUGGUGUCCCCAACCCUGCGCUGCAGCUCCCAGGGGAACGCGGUGGCUGCGUCACACGCGGCCACCAAGCGCUCCAGCAGCCCCAGGGACACGUCCAGCCACUGUCUCUCCAUGGUGGCCCUUGUUGCCUCACUGGCAGCCACCCUGGCCUCUCUCCUCACCUGGGCUCCAUGCCCGGCCACCACCUCGGCCCCCUCCUCCCCACCCAGGGCCUGACCCAGCUCCAUCAUGUUUUCCUGAGCUGUCCCAUCACGGGCAGCCACAGCCUGCAGCUCCCUGGCCCGGCCAGUGGCCGCCUCAGUGACCGCCUCCCUCCAGGUGUUGUGGAGCUCAGAGGCCUUCCUGGCCAGCUCAGCCCAUCUGUCCACAGGUGCAGCCACCAACCCCUGCCACUUCCUGACUGCCAUUGUCACAUGGUUCUGGGAGAUCCAUGGCGUGCUCUUGUAGGCAGCCAGGGCCUGGCUCAGGGAGGUGACAGGGUCAUCAUCAUCCAUGGUGACAUUGUGGCGCCUCCAGGUGUCAUCAAUACAGUACAGGGUAGUCCGGAGCUCAUUGGUGAAUUCCUCCAGGUCCCAGUACAGGUGCAAUGGGGACAUGAGCAGCAGCAUCUCCUCGUCCCGCCUGUGCAGGGUGUCCAGCAGCUCACCCAGGAUGGCCACUAUGGUGACCUGUGGCUGCAGCAGGGCCAGGGACAGCUGGGGAGGGAACAGGGAAGAUGUCAGGGACCUGGUGGCACUUACGGCCUCCUGUGGUGUCCCUCUGCCCCCGAGGGGUCCCCUCUGUCAC